UACGGAGGAUGCGAGCGUUAUCCGGAUUUAUUGGGUUUAAAGGGUGCGUAGGCGGACGCUUAAGUCAGCGGUAAAAUUGCGGGGCUCAACCUCGUCGAGCCGUUGAAACUGGGUGCCUUGAGUGGGCGAGAAGUACGCGGAAUGCGUGGUGUAGCGGUGAAAUGCAUAGAUAUCACGCAGAACUCCGAUUGCGAAGGCAGCGUACCGGCGCCCAACUGACGCUGAAGCACUAAGGCGUGGGUAUCGAACAGG
Molecule: ribosomal RNA, 252 nt
Filed under: uncultured bacterium
Lineage: Bacteria
Description: partial 16S ribosomal RNA
Rfam family: Bacterial small subunit ribosomal RNA
Source: RNAcentral